RNAcentral lists this ribosomal RNA (1554 nucleotides) under Triticum aestivum (bread wheat). RNAcentral describes it as "partial small subunit ribosomal RNA". Lineage: Eukaryota; Viridiplantae; Streptophyta; Magnoliopsida; Poales; Poaceae. The record is from RNAcentral.
AUGGCUUCUCACCAAUACAUUCAUGCUAUUUUUCUCAUAUCUUGCUUUCAUCCUUGUGAUAUGUCAUGUGCAUUAUUCAUGCCCACUAUUUGCACCAAUGACAUGCUUGCCAUGAUUCCUCCUAGUAUGUUGCAUCUUCGCACUACUAGCUUGCGUCACUUGAUCACUAUGAUUGCUUGCUAUGUUGCAUCACCCAUGUUCCACUAUUACUUGCUUUCUUGGGUUGAUGACAUAUAUGCUCAUGCCUCUCACAUGAUAUAUCUUGAUCAUUGUCUCUUGUGUCCAUUAGUUGCCUCUUUCAUAUCCACUUCUAUUGAGUGCAACCAUACUAUGCUUAUUGAUCUUGGAGACUUUGACACCUUACUUGUGAUGCAUGCUUGCUUGAUUGAGCCUUUUGUACUUGGUUGUUCUUGCAUCAUAUGCCUCCAUCCUAUGACACGCUCCCUUGUACUUUCUUAUGAUGAGCAUGAUGCAUACACUUGUUGGGUAUCUUACCACUCGAAUGAUAGGUUUUGCAUCUCCGCUAACCUCAUUUGUUCUUCCAAGUGUUUGUCAUGUUCUUUCAUUUUGGAGGAUUCACAAGGCGGUGCCGUUAUGCGACAACUUGGUCAUGUGAAGGCAUACACAAUGUGCGACACCAACAUCUUCGACAUUCUCAUAAAGGUGAACUCCUUCCCUUUGAGCCACCCUCAAGUACGCAUAUUGGACGGAUCACUCUUUCAUUGUUGUUUCCUUCUUGUUGUCUACAUGAUACAUCUCGUGAACGGAGGAGCGACAUUGGAGAUUGGCUACAGGAACCUUCACAUUGAGGAGCGCUCGCACUUAUUGGAUGCAUCUUCGGACUUCCACUCUUGCCACGACUUCGAGCAUUGGUACACCAACACCUCCAUAUUUGUUGAUUGUGCUCAUACAUGUCAUGCUCGAUGGACAUAUCAUAUUCACCACAAGUUUGCACCAUAUGCAUGGAUUGACUCACAUUAUGCUUCUCUUGUUGCAUCUAUUUCCAUGUCAUCCAUGAUAUAUGAGCUUGUGCAUUUCCUUAGCAAAUUUGUUGUGAUCUUCCUUGAUGGCAUAUUCAUACAUCAUGAUCAUAUUGUCCACCAUCAAUUGCAUGAUAGCUUACACAUAUUGAGCAUCCAUUGCCAUAUUCAUGCUAUUGAUGAACCGUCUCUCUAUGACAUCAUUUUGCAUCGUGGUUGCAUUGCUCAUAUUCAUAACACAUUUGUGUACACAAUGAUUGCUUUUCCUCCCAUGAAUGCUUUGCAUCUCAUUCUAGAUCAACUUGAUAAGCUUCAUGCGCUUUGUCACGACCAAUCUUGCCGCGCGGAUUCAUUCUUACAUGAUGGACACUUUUUGUGCGCUAACCAUUGUAUUUUCGAGUGUUGCUUGUGUUUGCUCUUUUUGCAUGUCUCUCACUCCGGCGACACCUUGGACUACUUGGAUUGCGCCAUGUCUUCAACUUCGUCCAACUACAAGUCCAUCCACGACAACCGUUUCCAUGGUGAUGACGAUCACGAUCCGAGGUUGGAUCUUUCCCAAGGGGGGGGGAGAUGA